AUAUAUCAUCUGAAUGAAAAAAUGUAUUUUUUUUAUUUAAUUAAAAAAUACAUUAAAGUAGUAUUCUGUUUUUUUCCUUUCUUUUUUUUUUAAGAAUACCAUUCAUAUUACUUUGAAACUAGAAAAAGCAACGUAAAAACAAGUUUAUUCAAGUGUUUCAAAUCUCAUCCGAAAAGGUGGUGUACUAAAUCCAAACGAAACGGGAAUUCGGUAUUUUCUCUACCGGUUCGUCGUGGAUCGCGAAUAUACUUGAAUACACUCGAGUAUACAUGGUCGUGCUUUAGAGGACCAACAAAACAAACGGCAUUUCUCGUCGAGCUACGAAAAUAGCUUCUCGAUGAUUCCUCGAAAACUUCGGAACGCCGUCACGAGACACGGUGAUGUACCUAACCUGGCCUGCCGGUGUACAUACCUUGGACGCUUUUGAUGCGCGUGUCUCCAGGAAGGGUGAGAAGAAAAAAGUGCCGACGGUGUGGGGUCGCCGUCCCCGUGUCGACAAAGUUCCUUUCGUAUCGUUAUAUCACAUACGCGAUGUCAUCGGGAUAACUGCUGUUCUGAGAAAGUCGUCUAAGUAGCGAUGCAACGACACUUCUCGUGGCACUCGAGUGGCUAUUGCUACUCUGAACACGGGACAAAACUGUCAAGAAAACUAAAGGCGUCGAUUCUAUGAAUUGUUACAACAAAUACAAUUUAUCCGAAUAUAAUUUUCACACGAAUAUAUAAUAAUAUUGAGCCUGCUUCGAAUGAAAGUUACUAAAUUUUACCCAACACGAGAAUCUUGCAGUAAACAAACUCAAUGCAAUCUCGACGUAUUGUGCAUCACGAGCCUCGCGGCCAUCACUAAUUUCAACUGGCACUGUUAGUGGCGCCAUCGUCUCUUUAGACGGAAGAACAAGGAACUGGACCAUUGCGCGCGCGAUAGUCGCGAAUAAUGGCGAAAUAUGGGUAUACCUGGGCGACCUUGUGGACCAGGUGAUCCAGGACGACCUGGACGGCCUCGGCCAGGUGGACCAGGUGGACCUUGUAUCUGUGCUGCCAUCUCAGUCAUCUGCUCUAUAUACGUACAGCCGCAAUAAAAGGAAUAGUUAUCUUUCUACUUUUGUUUUACGUAAACAUUAUACAAAGCCCAGCUCACAUUAUGUAAAAAUAUUUUUAUUAUUUCAACAUUUUUAUAUUUUAUACUUUUGUCAUUAUUUUGACAUUUCUUAUAUAGACAAUCAAAUUCUUUAUGAAUUGUACCUAUAAUUAUUCAAUUUUAUUAUUUUAGAUAAUGAUAAUGAUAAUUUCCACCUUUUAUUCUAUUUUAAUAAAAUAUCACUAAUAAAAUAAAUAAAUAGAGUAA
This is a long non-coding RNA of Apis cerana (Asiatic honeybee), 1342 nucleotides long. RefSeq lists it as uncharacterized. The record is from RefSeq and is a predicted model, not a curated record. Lineage: Eukaryota; Metazoa; Arthropoda; Insecta; Hymenoptera; Apidae.